ACUUCUGUUGAAAUUCUUUCACAAGGUUGACCUCGGAUCAGGUAGGAAUACCCGCUGAACUUAA
RNAcentral lists this ribosomal RNA (64 nucleotides) under Ceratocystis thulamelensis. RNAcentral describes it as "partial 28S ribosomal RNA". The record is from RNAcentral. Lineage: Eukaryota; Fungi; Ascomycota; Sordariomycetes; Microascales; Ceratocystidaceae.